Molecule: ribosomal RNA, 254 nt
Filed under: uncultured bacterium
Lineage: Bacteria
Description: partial 16S ribosomal RNA
Rfam family: Bacterial small subunit ribosomal RNA
Source: RNAcentral
GACAGAGGGUGCAAACGUUGCUCGGAAUUACUGGGCGUAAAGCGCGUGUAGGUGGUCACGCAAGUCAGGUGUGAAAGCCCAGGGCUCAACCCUGGAAGUGCACAUGAUACUACGUGGCUGGAGUACUGAAGAGGAGAGCGGAAUUCCCGGUGUAGAGGUGAAAUUCGUAGAUAUCGGGAGGAACACCAGUGGCGAAGGCGGCCUCUCUGGGCAGAUACUGACACUGAGACGCGAAAGCGUGGGUAGCAAACAGG